GAGCAUGUAUGAAGAUCCCACAGCAUGGUACAGAUGCAUGAUAGAGAGCAUGUAUGAAGAUCCUGCAGCUCGCGCCAUAAUGGUACAGAAGUGUGAUAGGGAGCAUGUAUGAAGAUCCUGCAGCACGCGUCAUACUCGAUGGUACCAAUGCAUGAUUGAGAGCAUGUAUGAAGACCCCACAGCAUGCGUCAUAAUGGUACAGAUGUGUGAUAGGGAGCAUGUAUGAAGAUCCUGCAGCACGCAUCAUACUCGAUGGUACCGAUGCAUGAUUGAGAGCAUGUAUGAAGAUCCCACAGCAUGGUACAGAUGCGUGAAAGAGAGCAUGUAUGAAGAUCCUGCAGCACGUGUCUUACUCGAUGGUACAGAUGCGUGAUUGACAGCACGUAUGAAGAUCUGGCCGCAUGUGUCACACUCAAUGGUACAGAUGCAUGACAGAGAGCACGUAUGAAGAUCUCACAGCACACAUCAUAAUGGUGCAGAUACAUGAUAGAGAGGAUGUAUGACGAUCCAGCCACAUGCGUCACACUCGAUGGCACAGAUGCGUGAUGGACAGCAUAUAUGAAGAUCCCAGAGCAUGUUUCAUACUCGGUGGUACAGAUGUGUGAUGGACAGCAUAUAUGAAGAUCCCAUAGCAUAUGUCAUACUCGAUGGGGGAGACCGAGUAUUGGGGGAGACCCCCAAGGUCUGGAGUGAGACAUGGGUGGCACUGUGGAUAUGAAAUGUCCAGAACAGGCCAAUCCCUAGAGACAGAAAGCAGAUUAGCAGUUGCAGCCUGGGGGCUGAUGAAGGAAAUGGGAAGUGACUGUUGCUGCGUGGGGGC
RNAcentral lists this long non-coding RNA (820 nucleotides) under Homo sapiens (human). Its description in RNAcentral is "HSALNT0170329". Lineage: Eukaryota; Metazoa; Chordata; Mammalia; Primates; Hominidae. The record is from RNAcentral.